Long non-coding RNA from Helianthus annuus (common sunflower), 657 nucleotides. RefSeq lists it as uncharacterized. The transcript is spliced from 3 exons. The record is from RefSeq and is a predicted model, not a curated record. NCBI's taxonomy places the organism in Eukaryota, Viridiplantae, Streptophyta, Magnoliopsida, Asterales, Asteraceae.
AACAAACUCAUCGGAUAAGUCGGUUGUCAUGUGCAUUACGUUUUGACCUUUGAUUAUUUAAUAUCCUUGAACUAUCAAUAGUUUUUUUAAAAUCCUUCUUCAAACUUGUUUCCGUUUCGGCGGAAACCCACCGCCUACGAGCACCUUUGCCCAACCGAACUCCAGCCAUACACCACUGUAACCAUCGCCAUGCUUUGAUUAUACUCGUCGCAGCCGUGAAGCGUCGCUACCUUGGUGAAUAUCGUCGUCGUACAACUACCGUAGUCGCCGCCACCAAACUACCCGCCACUCGUAUUCCGUACGGUUCAGUCUGAUUCACGCCACUGGGAGUUACUCGUGUUUCACCGAUCUUGCCUCACUUUCGGAUAUGUUUCUGUUCGACUAUUAAGGCUCUCGUAUUAUUGAGGACGACUUGUUUUGUUUUGCGUUUACCUUGCUUGGCUAAAUUAAGGUAAUUUGGGAAACGUGGGGAAUACGUGAAGAGUGUCGUGAAGAUAAAGAUGUAUUUUUAUUUCGGUAAUGUAAUGAAAAUAUAAUUAGGAUCUUUCGUUUUCAACGUUAUGGAUUGGUUUUAGUUUUGAUAUCUGUAUGAGUGACAUGCCAGCCUGUUCCGGGUUGGGGUGUUACAGUUUGUGUAAUUUAGUUAAGGCAACACAA